This 368-nucleotide ribosomal RNA is filed under the name uncultured organism. RNAcentral's name for it is "partial 16S ribosomal RNA". It matches the Rfam family "Bacterial small subunit ribosomal RNA", at positions 528 to 896 of the family's 1533-position model. The record is from RNAcentral.
GGAGGUGCGAGCGUUGUCCGGAUUUAUUGGGGUUUAAAGGGGUGCGUAGGCGGUUUAUUAAGUCAGUGGUGAAAGUCUGUAGCUUAACUAUAGAAGUGCCAUUGAUACUGAUAGACUUGAGUAUACUAUAGGCAGGCGGAAUUUAUGAUGUAGCGGUGAAAUGCAUAGAUAUCAUAAAGAACCCCGAUAGCGAAGGCAGCUUGCCGGAGUAUAACUGACGCUGAUGCACGAAAGCGUGGGUAGCGAACAGGAUUAGAUACCCUGGUAGUCCACGCCGUAAACGAUGAUUACUCGCUGUUGGCGAUAGACAGUCAGCAGCUUAGCGAAAGCGUUAAGUAAUCCACCUGGGGAGUACGAUCGCAAGAUUG